CCUACGGGAGGCAGCAGUGAGGAAUAUUGGACAAUGGACGAAAGUCUGAUCCAGCCAUGCCGCGUGCAGGAUGACGGCCCUAUGGGUUGUAAACUGCUUUUAUACAGGAAGAAACACUCCCACGUGUGGGGGCUUGACGGUACUGUACGAAUAAGGAUCGGCUAACUCCGUGCCAGCAGCCGCGGUAAUACGGAGGAUCCAAGCGUUAUCCGGAAUUAUUGGGUUUAAAGGGUCCGCAGGCGGUCUAUUAAGUCAGAGGUGAAAUCUUGCAGCUCAACUGUAAAAUUGCCUUUGAUACUGGUAGACUUGAGUCAUUGUGAAGUGGUUAGAAUGUGUGGUGUAGCGGUGAAAUGCAUAGAUAUCACACAGAAUACCAAUUGCGAAGGCAGAUCACUAACAAUGUACUGACGCUCAUGGACGAAAGCGUGGGGAGCGAACAGGAUUAGAUACCCUGGUAGUCCACGCCGUAAACGAUGGAUACUAACUGUUCGACCUUCGGGUUGAGUGGUUAAGCGAAAGUGAUAAGUAUCCCACCUGGGGAGUACGCUCGCAAGAGUGAAACUCAAAUGAAUUGACGG
Molecule: ribosomal RNA, 578 nt
Filed under: uncultured bacterium
Lineage: Bacteria
Description: bacterial SSU rRNA
Rfam family: Bacterial small subunit ribosomal RNA
Source: RNAcentral